This 460-nucleotide ribosomal RNA is filed under the name uncultured bacterium. RNAcentral describes it as "partial 16S ribosomal RNA". It matches the Rfam family "Bacterial small subunit ribosomal RNA", at positions 338 to 795 of the family's 1533-position model. The record is from RNAcentral.
CCUACGGGUGGCAGCAGUGAGGAAUAUUGGUCAAUGGUCGUAAGCCUGAACCAGCCAAGUAGCGUGCAGGAUGACGGCCCUACGGGUUGUAAACUGCUUUUAUGCGGGGAUAAAGUGAGUCACGUGUGCCGUUUUGUAGGUACUGUAUGAAUAAGGAUCGGCUAACUCCGUGCCAGCAGCCGCGGUAAUACGGAGGAUCCGGGCGUUAUCCGGAUUUAUUGGGUUUAAAGGGAGCGUAGACGGAUUGUUAAGCGUGUUGUGAAAUGUUGUGGCUCAACCGUGGAACUGCAGUUGAUACUGGCAGGCUUGAGUACAGUUGAGGUAGGCGGAAUUCGUGGUGUAGCGGUGAAAUGCUUAGAUAUCACGAAGAACUCCGAUUGCGAAGGCAGCUUACUAAACCGCCACUGACACUGAUGCUCGAAGGUGCGGGUAUCAAACAGGAUUAGAUACCCUUGUAGUC